Molecule: ribosomal RNA, 602 nt
Filed under: Salmonella enterica subsp. diarizonae
Lineage: Bacteria; Pseudomonadati; Pseudomonadota; Gammaproteobacteria; Enterobacterales; Enterobacteriaceae
Description: partial 23S ribosomal RNA
Rfam family: Bacterial large subunit ribosomal RNA
Source: RNAcentral
UGUUUCGGCUAGGGGGCCAUCCCGGCUUACCAACCCGAUGCAAACUGCGAAUACCGGAGAAUGUUAUCACGGGAGACACACGGCGGGUGCUAACGUCCGUCGUGAAGAGGGAAACAACCCAGACCGCCAGCUAAGGUCCCAAAGUCAUGGUUAAGUGGGAAACGAUGUGGGAAGGCCCAGACAGCCAGGAUGUUGGCUUAGAAGCAGCCAUCAUUUAAAGAAAGCGUAAUAGCUCACUGGUCGAGUCGGCCUGCGCGGAAGAUGUAACGGGGCUAAACCAUGCACCGAAGCUGCGGCAGCGACACUUUAGUGUUGUUGGGUAGGGGAGCGUUCUGUAAGCCGUUGAAGGUGUCCUGUGAGGGGUGCUGGAGGUAUCAGAAGUGCGAAUGCUGACAUAAGUAACGAUAAAGCGGGUGAAAAGCCCGCUCGCCGGAAGACCAAGGGUUCCUGUCCAACGUUAAUCGGGGCAGGGUGAGUCGACCCCUAAGGCGAGGCCGAAAGGCGUAGUCGAUGGGAAACGGGUUAAUAUUCCCGUACUUGGUGUUACUGCGAAGGGGGGACGGAGAAGGCUAUGUUGGCCGGGCGACGGUAGUCCCGGUUUA